Molecule: small nucleolar RNA, 133 nt
Filed under: Castor canadensis (American beaver)
Lineage: Eukaryota; Metazoa; Chordata; Mammalia; Rodentia; Castoridae
Description: Small Cajal body specific RNA 24 (ENSCCNG00000011064.1)
Rfam family: Small Cajal body specific RNA 24
About the family: scaRNAs are a specific class of small nuclear RNAs which localise to the Cajal bodies and guide the modification of RNA polymerase II transcribed spliceosomal RNAs U1, U2, U4, U5 and U12. ACA12 belongs to the H/ACA box class of guide RNAs as it has the predicted hairpin-hinge-hairpin-tail structure,the conserved H/ACA-box motifs and is found associated with GAR1.
Source: Rfam by way of RNAcentral
UGGACAUUUAUUUUUAUUAAGUUUCUUCUCAAGGUGAAGACAGCUUCUUUGUAAAUGUCUUAGAGAGAAAUAUAGUAGCUUUCUGUUCACCUUUUGCAAGUAAAGAAGGUGGAUUGUUCCACUCCUGACAUUU